Molecule: ribosomal RNA, 603 nt
Filed under: fungal endophyte
Lineage: Eukaryota; Fungi
Description: eukaryotic LSU rRNA
Rfam family: 5.8S ribosomal RNA (bases 179-332)
Source: RNAcentral
UAAAGAGUUCUAUAACUCCCAAACCCAUGUGAACAUACCUAACGUUGCCUCGGCAGGUCGCACCUACCUUGUAGCACCCUACCCUGUAGGGCCUACCCGGGAGGUGCGGGUAAGCCUGCCGGCGGCCCACCAAACUCUGUUUGAUAUUGAAUUCUGAACCUAUAACUAAAUAAGUUAAAACUUUCAACAACGGAUCUCUUGGUUCUGGCAUCGAUGAAGAACGCAGCGAAAUGCGAUAAGUAAUGUGAAUUGCAGAAUUCAGUGAAUCAUCGAAUCUUUGAACGCAUAUUGCGCCCAUUAGUAUUCUAGUGGGCAGGACCGUUCGAGCGUCAUUUCAACCCUUAAGCCUUCGUUGCUUAGUGUUGGGAGCCUACGGCAACGUAGCUCCUCAAAGUUAGUGGCGGAGUUGGUUCACACUCUAGACGUAGUAAUUUUUUAUCUCGCCUAUUAGUUGGACUAAUCCCCUGCCGUAAAACCCCCAAUUUAUCAAGGUUGACCUCGAAUCGGUUCAGACAAACUCGCUAAAUUGAAGCAUCUUAGUCAGCGAAGGAAAAGAAACCAACAGGGAUUGCCCUAGUAACGGCGAGUGAAGCGGCAACAGCU